CUGCGCCUACGGGAGGCAGCAGUAGGGAAUCUUCCACAAUGGGCGAAAGCCUGAUGGAGCAACGCCGCGUGGGUGAAGAAGGUCUUCGGAUCGUAAAACCCUGUUGUUAGAGAAGAAAGUGCGUGGGAGUAACUGUUCACGUUUCGACGGUAUCUAACCAGAAAGCCACGGCUAACUACGUGCCAGCAGCCGCGGUAAUACGUAGGUGGCAAGCGUUAUCCGGAUUUAUUGGGCGUAAAGGCAACGCAGGCGGUCUUUUAAGUCUGAUGUGAAAGCCUUCGGCUUCACCGGGGUAGUGCAUUGGA
Molecule: ribosomal RNA, 305 nt
Filed under: uncultured bacterium
Lineage: Bacteria
Description: bacterial SSU rRNA
Rfam family: Bacterial small subunit ribosomal RNA
Source: RNAcentral